RNAcentral lists this microRNA precursor (75 nucleotides) under Loxodonta africana (African savanna elephant). Its description in RNAcentral is "miRNA (ENSLAFG00000025677.1)". It matches the Rfam family "mir-1388 microRNA precursor family", at positions 4 to 79 of the family's 93-position model. Lineage: Eukaryota; Metazoa; Chordata; Mammalia; Proboscidea; Elephantidae. The record is from RNAcentral.
UGGGCAGUGCCUCCAGGACUGUCCGACCUGAGAAUGCCAGGCUCCAGGCUCAAUCUCAGGUCCGUCAGCCCGAGA